This 361-nucleotide ribosomal RNA is filed under the name Trypanosoma cruzi marinkellei. Its description in RNAcentral is "bacterial SSU rRNA". Lineage: Eukaryota; Euglenozoa; Kinetoplastea; Trypanosomatida; Trypanosomatidae. The record is from RNAcentral.
AUUAUGGGGCAGUGUGACAAGCGGCUGGGUGGUUAUUCCACACACACUCCUUUUGGACGUGUGUGUGGCACUCGUCGCCUUUGUGGGAAAUCCGUGUGGCACUGUUUGUUGUUGGCAGACUUCGGUCUUGCCUUCGCAUCUCACACGUGUCAUGCCUUCCCGAAGGCAUUCUUCAAGGAUACCUUCCUCAAUCAAGAACCAAAGUGUGGGGAUCGAAGAUGAUUAGAGACCAUUGUAGUCCACACUGCAAACGAUGACACCCAUGAAUUGGGGAGUUUUUGGUCGUAGGCGUGGUCGGGUUUGAUUACUUUUUCAUCCCGUUCCUCGUCUCGCCAAUGAAUAUCAAUUUACGUGCAUAUUC